AUUCCGACUCUUCAAUUUCAGUUAUAAACUUUAUAAUCACAUAUAUUCGACAUACGACUAAUUCGACUUACGCCUUGCUUUGGGACAUUUUUUCGGUCCCAAAUACAGUCGUAUAUCGGGGGACACCUGUACAGUGGAGCGCCGUUUAUUCGGUACCUUUUAUCCGGCUAUACAGGUUACGUCAAAAGCCCGUUUUGGCCGAUUUCCAAUAAAAAAAUGAAUGAAAAUUUUGACAGACAAAUUGGAAUGGUUUGUUUACAAUUGGACUGGUUUGUUUACAAUUUGACUGGAUUGCAAUCGUGCAAUGGUAUGGUGUUUGGUGUUGAAGCUUGUAAUUUUUAAGUUAUUUAAUUAUUUUGUGAUUAUUAAUUUUAUGAUGAAUUAAUAGCUGUGGCAACGGAGAAAUCGACUAAGUGAGAUUCCAGUAAAAAUAUGCUUUCGUUGUCGUGAAAAGAUCCAACAUGAAGGAGUUUAAGAUUGUGUCAGGGAAAAGGAUUACAUCGAGCAAGUGGAGAAUUAAUGUGAAAUCAUUCGCUUCUCAGCAUUACCAGCAUUACGGACAAGGAGAUAAACAAGCGUGUGAAGUACACAGCUAGAAAGCAUAUGUUGGAGGGAAAAUGUAUGCUGUUUUUGGAACUUGCACGAUGUCUCAGGUGGGUGUGCAGUGCAGACACAGUUUUACCUUACGAGUUUCUUUUCCGUCCAACAACAGUAAAGUAUAUAUGGAGAGGGAGGGGUGCAAUGUGCCGUACUUUCCCAAAGUAAUCACUGUUCGUAAUAGGUGAGGAAUAUUAUCAUGCCUGGCUGUUGCACAGUAUCCAUUGGGAUGAGGUCUAACUCCCUCGAGGCUAACGGACGAUGUCCCAUUCCGCCCUACUGCAACAUACCCAAGCGCCACAGAUUAAGCUUAAACGACUGGAAAAUUGAAUAUCCAUAGAAAAAAAAUGAAAGCUCCACAGCUUCAUUGGUUUGAUCAAUAGAUGGCGUAUUAAAACUAAUCAUUAUAUUGCUAUCCUUUU
Molecule: long non-coding RNA, 1019 nt
Organism: Anopheles gambiae (African malaria mosquito)
Lineage: Eukaryota; Metazoa; Arthropoda; Insecta; Diptera; Culicidae
Exons: 2
Source: RefSeq, a predicted model, not a curated record